MicroRNA precursor from Gorilla gorilla gorilla (western lowland gorilla), 73 nucleotides. The record is from Ensembl. NCBI's taxonomy places the organism in Eukaryota, Metazoa, Chordata, Mammalia, Primates, Hominidae.
GGGGAGGUACCUGGGAGAGGAGGAGGAGGCAGCCUUGCCUCAGAAACCAAACUGUCAAAAGUGUAGGUUCCAC